GAUGAAGAACGUAGUGAAAUGCGAUACGUAAUGUGAAUUGCAGAUUUCAGUGAAUCAUCGAAUCUUUGAACGCACAUUGCGCCCGCUAGUAUUCUGGCGGGCAUGCCUGUUCGAGCGUCAUUUCAACCAUCAAGCCCCCGGCUUGCGUUGGAGCCCUGCGGCUGCCGCAGGCUCCCAAAUCUAGUGGCGGGCUCGUCGUCGUACCGAGUGCAGUAAACAUCCUCGCUCAGGGAACGCGUCGGGUUCUUGCCGUGAAACCCCCCCAUAUCAAGGUUGACCUCGGAUCAGGUAGGAAUACCCGCUGAACUUAAGCAUAUCAUAAGCGGAGGA
RNAcentral lists this unclassified non-coding RNA (330 nucleotides) under soil metagenome. RNAcentral's name for it is "partial contains 5.8S ribosomal RNA, internal transcribed spacer 2, and large subunit ribosomal RNA". The stretch from base 1 to 120 matches the Rfam family "5.8S ribosomal RNA", at positions 35 to 154 of the family's 154-position model. The record is from RNAcentral.